This 301-nucleotide ribosomal RNA is filed under the name uncultured bacterium. RNAcentral describes it as "partial 16S ribosomal RNA". It matches the Rfam family "Bacterial small subunit ribosomal RNA", at positions 509 to 808 of the family's 1533-position model. The record is from RNAcentral.
CAGCAGCCGCGGUAGGACGAACCGUGCGAACGUUAUUCGGAAUCACUGGGCUUAAAGAGCGCGUAGGCGGAUUGCUACGUCGGUGUCUGAAAUCCCCCGGCUCAACCGGGGAAGUGGAUCCGAUACGGGCAGUCUUGAGGGACGUAGGGGGGGCUGGAACUUCCGGUGGAGCGGUGAAAUGCGUUGAGAUCGGAAGGAACGCCCGUGGCGAAAGCGAGCCCCUGGACGUCUGCUGACGCUGAGGCGCGAAAGCUAGGGGAGCGAACGGGAUUAGAUACCCCAGUAGUCCCUGUCUCUUAUU